RNAcentral lists this signal recognition particle RNA (297 nucleotides) under Rhinopithecus bieti (black snub-nosed monkey). RNAcentral's name for it is "Metazoan signal recognition particle RNA (ENSRBIG00000000886.1)". It matches the Rfam family "Metazoan signal recognition particle RNA". From Rfam's summary of the family: The signal recognition particle (SRP) is a universally conserved ribonucleoprotein. The record is from RNAcentral. Lineage: Eukaryota; Metazoa; Chordata; Mammalia; Primates; Cercopithecidae.
GCUGGGUGCAGUGGUGCAUGCUGUAGACCCAGCUACUCGGGAGGCAAGGUGGGAGGAUGGCUUGAGCCCAGAAGUUCGGGGCCGUAAUGCGCUGUGCCAGUCGGGUGUCUGUCCUAAGUUUAGCCCCUAUGUAGUGACCUCUCAGGAGUGCAGAACCCUCAGGUUGCCUAAGGAGGGAUGAACCUGACCAGGCUGGAAACAGAGAAGGUGAAAAUUCCCAUGCUGAUCAGUGGUGGGAUGGCGCCUGUGAACAGCCACUGCACUCUAGCCUGGACAAUAUAGCGAGAACCUGUCUCU